This 470-nucleotide unclassified non-coding RNA is filed under the name uncultured Glomus. RNAcentral describes it as "SSU rRNA". It matches the Rfam family "Eukaryotic small subunit ribosomal RNA", at positions 569 to 1041 of the family's 1831-position model. The record is from RNAcentral. Lineage: Eukaryota; Fungi; Glomeromycota; Glomeromycetes; Glomerales; Glomeraceae.
AGCAGCCGCGGUAAUUCCAGCUCCAAUAGCGUAUAUUAAAGUUGUUGCAGUUAAAAAGCUCGUAGUUGAAUUUCGGGAUUUAUCCGUCGGUCGGGCUUUUGGGUCUGUACUGGCGUGAUGAAUUCCUACCUUCUGAAUAACCAGCAUGCCAUUAAUUUGGUGCGCCGGGGAAGCAGGACUGUUACCUUGAAAAAUUAGAGUGCUUAAAGCAGGCUAUUGCCUGAAUACAUUAGCAUGGAAUAAUGAAAUAGGACGGCAUGGUUCUAUUUUGUUGGUUUCUAGGAUCACCGUAAUGAUUAAUAGGGAUAGUUGGGGGCAUUAGUAUUCAAUUGUCAGAGGUGAAAUUCUUGGAUUUAUUGAAGACUAACUUCUGCGAAAGCAUUUGCCAAGGAUGUUUUCAUUAAUCAAGAACGAAAGUUAGGGGAUCGAAGACGAUCAGAUACCGUCGUAGUCUUAACCAUAAAACUAUG